CAAUAGUGAUGUCUGACGGAGCACGCCGCGUGAGUGAUGAAGGUUUUCGGAUCGUAAAGCUCUGUUGUUAGGGAAGAACAAGUGCCGUUCAAAUAGGGCGGCACCUUGACGGUACCUAACCAGAAAGCCACGGC
RNAcentral lists this ribosomal RNA (134 nucleotides) under Bacillus sp. enrichment culture clone L6. RNAcentral describes it as "partial 16S ribosomal RNA". It matches the Rfam family "Bacterial small subunit ribosomal RNA", at positions 369 to 497 of the family's 1533-position model. The record is from RNAcentral. Lineage: Bacteria; Bacillati; Bacillota; Bacilli; Caryophanales; Bacillaceae.